This 303-nucleotide ribosomal RNA is filed under the name uncultured bacterium. Its description in RNAcentral is "partial 16S ribosomal RNA". It matches the Rfam family "Bacterial small subunit ribosomal RNA", at positions 507 to 809 of the family's 1533-position model. The record is from RNAcentral.
AGCAGUAGCCACGGUAAUACGGAGGGGGCUAGCGUUGUUCGGAAUUACCGGGCGUAAAGCGCACGUAGGCGGCUUGGUAAGUUAGAGGUGAAAGCCUGGAGCUCAACUCCAGAAUUGCCUUUAAGACUGCCGAGCUAGCAGGUGAGAGAGGUAAGUGGAAUUCCGAGUGUAGAGGUGAAAUUCGUAGAUAUUCGGAAGAACACCAGUGGCGAAGGCGGCUUACUGGCUCAUACUGGACACUGAGGUGCGAAAGCGUGGGGAGUAAACAGGAUUAGAUACCCGAGUAGUCCUGUCUCUUAUACA